CAGAGCCUUGCUCCGUCCCCCAUGCUGGAGUGCAGUGGCACGAUCUCGGCUCACUGCAACCUCCACCUCCCGGGUUCAAGCGAUUCUCCUGCCUCAGGCUCCCGAGUAGCUGGGAUUACAGAUGAUGAUUAUUCCCCACCUUCUAAGAGACAAAGACCAACGAGCCACCACAGCCACCAGUCCCAGAACCUGCCAAUGCUGGGGAACGGAAAAUGAGGGAGUUCAACUCUGGCCCUCACAAUCCAGUGGAGGAGACGAAACUCAUCUGCCUCUGUCCCUCUGGGCACGCCUCAUGCCAGGUGCAUCUGUGGACAGGGGCCAUGCUCCUGGGCUUCCAAAGUUGGAGAAAGCUGCCAGGCUCAGGUCUGAAGGCCAGAAUUCUACAAGAAAUGGAAUCAUCGUAUCGCUGAUCUACGUAAACAAACUGAAGAAUUGUCUGAAAGAAAAUAUGACAUGAACUUAUGAAUUCAACAGGUGAAGAUUUACAACUUGAUAAAUCAACUUUGUCAGCUCGAGCUGUAAAAGCCAAAGUGGAGAUGCGGUUUCACCAUGUUGGCCGGGCCAGUCUCGAACUCCUGACGUCAAGUGAUCUUCCCGCCUCGACUCCUGAUAUCAAGUGAUCUUCCCGCCUCGGCCUCCCAGAGUGCUGAGAUUACAGACGUGAACCCAUGCCUGGCCAGGAAUUUUGUUUUUUAGGAAGGCUUUCUACUAAUGGAAUUCCUGGCCUUGAGAGGAUGUUACUUUAGAAGGAAAGGAUUUUUUUGUUAUUAAAAGAGCCACCUAAGCUGAAGAUUCCCUUGAGAACAAGUACUGUCCCUAGUUUCCCAGUGCUGGAAUAUAGAAAAUGGAUGGACAAGUAAAUCCCACUCAGCACCCAUAGUCCAGGCAUGGGGACCUCAACACACCUGAGCCCCAGACAUCACCUUUCAUUCUGGACCUACCAUGAAAGACUUCUGAAUCCAGGAAGAGAAACUGACUGGGCAACAUGUUAUUCAGAUGGGGUCUUCUUAUGUUGCCCAGGUUGGUCUCAAAUUCCUAGGCUCAAGUGAUUCCGCCCACCUCUGCCUCCCAAAGUGCUGGGAUUACGGGCAUGAGCCAGUGCAUCUGGCCACCUUAUUUUCUAUUACUGGCUCAAUGUAAUGGCUCCAUCUCAGGAACAGCCAAUGAAAGAGAUGCACAGGACAAGAAACAGGACCUUGCCCUGUCACUCAGGAUGGAGUUCAGUGGUCCUAUCAUGGCUCAUUAUAGCCUCAAACUCCCAGGCUCAAGCAAUCCUACCAUGUCAGCCUUCCCAGUAGCUGGAACUACAGGCUGGAGUACAGUGGCACAACCUCUGCUCACUGCAGCCUCCACCUGCCAGGCUCAAGCAAUUCUCCUGCCUCAGCCUCCCGAGUAGCUGGGAUUACAGGAAGUGCGCUCACAAUGACUCAAGCUGCCACAUACUGUUGAUUGUGAAAUGCCAGUUGAAGCAUAUGUCCUGCAAGCUUAGGGGUGCUACAAGUUGACCACUGCAGCAGUAAAGAUGACUCUGAAGAAUGGCGUGGGAUGGUUCCUUUCAAAUGCACUUGAGCAGCGGUCUCCAACCACAGGGCCACAGAGCUGGAGCUGGAUCUACCAUGAAAGACUUGUGAAUCCAGGAAGAGAGACUGACUGGGCAACAUGUUAUUCAGGCUCACCUGGAUAUUAAGACUGAGUCAAAUGUUGGGUCUGGUCUGACUUUAAUGUUUGCUUUGUUCAUGAGCACCACAUAUUGCCUCUCCUAUGCAGUUAAGCAGAAUCUCCCUGUGCCAUCCAGGCUGGAGUGCAGUGAUGUG
This 1814-nucleotide long non-coding RNA is filed under the name Homo sapiens (human). RNAcentral describes it as "uncharacterized LOC105376781 (LOC105376781)". Lineage: Eukaryota; Metazoa; Chordata; Mammalia; Primates; Hominidae. The record is from RNAcentral.